Molecule: ribosomal RNA, 388 nt
Filed under: Ambloplites rupestris
Lineage: Eukaryota; Metazoa; Chordata; Actinopteri; Centrarchiformes; Centrarchidae
Description: partial small subunit ribosomal RNA
Rfam family: Bacterial small subunit ribosomal RNA
Source: RNAcentral
GCCUAGCCCUAAACAUUGAUAGUAUUUCUACACCUGCUAUCCGCCCGGGAACUACGAGCAUUAGCUUGAAACCCAAAGGACUUGGCGGUGCUUUAGAUCCACCUAGAGGAGCCUGUUCUAGAACCGAUAACCCCCGUUCAACCUCACCCUUCCUUGUUUUUCCCGCCUAUAUACCGCCGUCGUCAGCUUACCCUGUGAAGGCCUCAUAGUAAGCAAAAUUGGCAUAACCCAAAACGUCAGGUCGAGGUGUAGCGUAUGGAGGGGGAAGAAAUGGGCUACAUUCCCUAAUGCAGAGAAUACGAACGACGUACUGAAAUGUACAUCCAAAGGAGGAUUUAGCAGUAAGCAGAAAAUAGAGUGUUCUGCUGAAAUUGGCCCUGAAGCGCGC